Molecule: ribosomal RNA, 253 nt
Filed under: uncultured bacterium
Lineage: Bacteria
Description: partial 16S ribosomal RNA
Rfam family: Bacterial small subunit ribosomal RNA
Source: RNAcentral
GACAGAGGGGGCAAGCGUUGCUCGGAAUUACUGGGCGUAAAGGGCGCGUAGGCGGGAUGGCAAGUCGGUCGUGAAAUCCCUCGGCUCAACUGAGGAUCGUCGAUCGAUACUGCCGUUCUUGAGGAUUGCAGAGGAGACUGGAAUUCCCGGUGUAGCGGUGAAAUGUGUAGAGAUCAGGAGGAACACCCGUGGCGAAGGCGGCCCCCUGGGUCGGCCCUGACGCUGAGGCGCGAAAGCGUGGGGAGCGAACGGG